Long non-coding RNA from Chenopodium quinoa (quinoa), 731 nucleotides. RefSeq lists it as uncharacterized. The record is from RefSeq and is a predicted model, not a curated record. The transcript is spliced from 3 exons. NCBI's taxonomy places the organism in Eukaryota, Viridiplantae, Streptophyta, Magnoliopsida, Caryophyllales, Amaranthaceae.
AUAGUCUUAUACUUUCAGGAGAUUCUGAUUUACAACAUUCCUGCCAAACGCUUUCAAAAAAAAAAAAAUCAUCCUCCUAUUUUUCAAUUUUAGAGGAACAAUUAGUGCAUUACCGAUUUACCGCACUAGAUCUUUUCACUUUUACACUGCACCUUCUCUCUCUUCUAUUAGCGUUCUCUGACUUCUCCAUCGAAGCGGCUUCUGAUCCUCUCCUCCAUUGAAGCAAUUUCUGAGGAUGGCAGAGCAAGAGGCUCCAUUUUUCCCAAGGGAGAAGAUUCUUGAGAGGCAAAAGUAUUUCCAAAGCGUCCAGAAGCAUACAUAUCUAAAAGGACCCCUCGACAAGGUCACCUCUGUUGCCAUUCCUAUUGCUCUUGCGGCUACAUCAUUAUUCCUGAUUGGUAAAGGGAUCUAUAACAUGUCUCAUGGAAUUGGGAAGAAAGAAUGAUGAGGCAAUAUUGCUUAUUGGCUGCUAAUAGGAUUGGCUAUGACUUGAUAAUUAUGUUGAAAUAUGCUUUCAAAUUGUAGUUUUGUUUUCAUUUCAAAGUUCCUUUGGCUGCCUUUUUGACAAUAAUGCAUUAAUUCAUGAUAAUUGUAUUAUUACUGUUGGAUGCUGGGUUUUUCUUUAAAUUGUGUACCCAUCAGGCCUUUUGACUCUGGUGCUGCAUAUUGCUUGGUAUUGAAAAGCAAUGCUUUUGUGCUAUUUGUACAUUUGUUUCUGAUUUUGCCGAAAA